ACGGAGGAUGCAAGCGUUAUCCGGAUUCAUUGGGUUUAAAGGGUGCGCAGGCGGAAUGCUAAGUCAGUGGUGAAAUCUCCCGGCUUAACCGUGGAACUGCCAUGGAUACUGUCAUUCUUGAGUACAGUUGAAGUGGACGGAAUGUGUCAUGUAGCGGUGAAAUGCUUAGAUAUGACACAGAACACCGAUAGCGAAGGCAACUUACUAAGAUAUUAUUGACGCUCAUGUGCGAAAGCGUGGGGAUCAAACAG
RNAcentral lists this ribosomal RNA (251 nucleotides) under uncultured prokaryote. RNAcentral describes it as "partial 16S rRNA". It matches the Rfam family "Bacterial small subunit ribosomal RNA", at positions 525 to 775 of the family's 1533-position model. The record is from RNAcentral.